UGGCCCUGACUGAAGACCUGCAGU
RNAcentral lists this microRNA (24 nucleotides) under Bos taurus (domestic cattle). Its description in RNAcentral is "bta-miR-1291". Lineage: Eukaryota; Metazoa; Chordata; Mammalia; Artiodactyla; Bovidae. The record is from miRBase by way of RNAcentral.